RNAcentral lists this ribosomal RNA (242 nucleotides) under uncultured bacterium. Its description in RNAcentral is "partial 16S ribosomal RNA". It matches the Rfam family "Bacterial small subunit ribosomal RNA", at positions 273 to 504 of the family's 1533-position model. The record is from RNAcentral.
GCGACGAUGCGUAGCCGGCCUGAGAGGGUGGACGGCCACACUGGGACUGAGACACGGCCCAGACUCCUACGGGAGGCAGCAGUAGGGAAUUUUCGGCAAUGGGCGAAAGCCUGACCGAGCAACGCCGCGUGAAGGAAGAAGUCAUUCGUGAUCCCGUAAACUUCUGUUAUAAAGGAAGAACGGCGCCUGUAGGGAAUGACAGGCGAGUGACGGUACUUUAUGAGGAAGCCACGGCUAACUAC